This 81-nucleotide signal recognition particle RNA is filed under the name Streptococcus oralis. RNAcentral describes it as "Bacterial small signal recognition particle RNA". The stretch from base 2 to 73 matches the Rfam family "Bacterial small signal recognition particle RNA", at positions 12 to 81 of the family's 97-position model. Rfam says of the family: The signal recognition particle (SRP) is a universally conserved ribonucleoprotein involved in the co-translational targeting of proteins to membranes. Archaeal SRP consists of a 7S RNA and homologues of the eukaryotic SRP19 and SRP54 proteins. The record is from RNAcentral. RNAcentral also lists the same sequence under 4 other names. Lineage: Bacteria; Bacillati; Bacillota; Bacilli; Lactobacillales; Streptococcaceae.
GGAGCAACAGUUCUGCGUGAAGCGGGUCAGGGGAGGAAUCCAGCAGCCCUAAGCGAGUGUGAAUUGUGUGCUCUUUUUUCG